GUCGAGCGGUUGACGGGAGCUUGCUCCCUGAUUCAGCGGCGGACGGGUGAGUAAUGCCUAGGAAUCUGCCUAUUAGUGGGGGACAACGUUUCGAAAGGAACGCUAAUACCGCAUACGUCCUACGGGAGAAAGCAGGGGACCUUCGGGCCUUGCGCUAAUAGAUGAGCCUAGGUCGGAUUAGCUAGUUGGUGAGGUAAUGGCUCACCAAGGCGACGAUCCGUAACUGGUCUGAGAGGAUGAUCAGUCACACUGGAACUGAGACACGGUCCAGACUCCUACGGGAGGCAGCAGUGGGGAAUAUUGGACAAUGGGCGAAAGCCUGAUCCAGCCAUGCCGCGUGUGUGAAGAAGGUCUUCGGAUUGUAAAGCACUUUAAGUUGGGAGGAAGGGUUGUAGAUUAAUACUCUGCAAUUUUGACGUUACCGACAGAAUAAGCACCGGCUAACUCUGUGCCAGCAGCCGCGGUAAUACAGAGGGUGCAAGCGUUAAUCGGAAUUACUGGGCGUAAAGCGCGCGUAG
This 518-nucleotide ribosomal RNA is filed under the name Pseudomonas sp. Its description in RNAcentral is "bacterial SSU rRNA". It matches the Rfam family "Bacterial small subunit ribosomal RNA", at positions 61 to 574 of the family's 1533-position model. The record is from RNAcentral. Lineage: Bacteria; Pseudomonadati; Pseudomonadota; Gammaproteobacteria; Pseudomonadales; Pseudomonadaceae.